This 470-nucleotide small RNA is filed under the name Pan troglodytes (chimpanzee). RNAcentral describes it as "processed transcript". Lineage: Eukaryota; Metazoa; Chordata; Mammalia; Primates; Hominidae. The record is from RNAcentral.
UUCUUUAGCCCGUGGGAAUGAAAAGAUCAUGGGCAGAAAGCCUCAGUUCAAACUUUGCUUAAAUCAUUUUCAUUUUUUAAGUAUUUGCCAGUGGUGUUCCAGGCACUGGGGGAAUACAUCAGUGAACAUGACAGACAAGGUCCCUGCCUUUCUGGUGCUUGCAUUUUAAUGGAAGAGACUUUAGUGAAAGAUUUUAGAGAAAUAAGCUGCAAUGGUAACUUCUGUGAAGAAAGGAAAGCAAGGCUGUCUGAUAACGUGACUAGGAGCCUAGUUUACUUUGGCUGGGCAGUCUCUCUGAAAAGGACAUUUAAGUUGAGACAUCAGUGAUGUUGAGGAGACCAAUGAUGCGAGCUCAGAGUCAAUAGCAUCCUUCUCUAAACAGGAGGUCAUGAGUAGCUUUCUGCCAGAGGGAGGGUGUUACGAGCUGCUCACUGUGAUAGGCAAAGGAUUUGAGGACCUGAUGACUGUGA